GCCUGAUUACCAAGGGCAGUAUUUUCUGGACUUCCACCAACAGUGGAUGCCUAAAGGAUUCUUGAGCUUCCCCUACUCGGGAUCUGCAGUGACCUUGUAGUACACUUCUUAGCCCGUGGCCAAAUGGCCUUGAAGGUCUGUAGCCGUAACAUAGUGAACAAGUCUGAUGACAUGAUAAAUAAGGCUGAGCUUGCCAUUUCAAAACAAGAGUUGUCAAUUUUGCCCUUGUAUGGGAAACUAGACUUCCCAGCCUACUUGUGAUCAUCCUGAUUUUUGGGGUUUGGUCUGAGCUAUAAGUAGUGCAGACAUUCAGGCAUCAGGCUCCAACAUCCCCUCUACAACUUAGGGAUGCCCAGCUUUGGUUUCAGUGCAUAUCAGUAGCAUCCUACAGACCCAAGGGGCUAUACAGUCUGCAUGCUCCAUGCAUGUUGAUGACUGCUUGCCUGACUGUAACUGCAGGGAAGGCAAAAGAGCUCAGAGGUUGUCAAUGCCACACUGGGUUGGUAUUUCAUUUCCUUGCCCUGAUGUUCCAUCACGAAAAACAAAUACAUAAAUAAAGACCUAAACAUUUUUUUGGUUGGAAUGGUCAGGCCAUGCCUGCUUAGCAUCAUCACUACAGAUUGUUAUCAGGUUAACCAAACAUUGUUUUCCCAACCUUCCUGGCGGCUCCUACUUUCAGUUGAGGAAACCGAAUCUUUUAGUUUUCCUGUUCUCUGGACCAAGGUGAUGAUUUCCUGGCUUCUUGAUCUUUUUUUGUUUUCAUUGUAUUUUCAACUCUCUGAAAUGUUUUCACAGAGGGCUUUAAACUCUACUAACCCAGUAUUUUUUCCUUUUGUUUUCUCCACACCCUGAAGUAAGUGGCUUCUCAAAAGCACAGACAGCUAGAGCUAGAUGAAACCUCAGGGAAUAAUUUAGGUCAAUCCCUUUCCUUCGGCUUGAGGAGUAAGGGAAACACAUUGACAAUACCACUUGCUAGGAAUAGAGUCUACAUGUGGCAUUUUGCAAAAUUACCUAAUUUAAACCUUAGAAUAGCUCUGAGAGGUAGAUGUUCUAUCCUCCUGUUUUAGACAAGGAAGCUAUGGUACAGAGAAAUUAACUGGUCUAUGUGAGAUCAUACAGUUAGCUAGUGACAUAGCUGAGACUCAAACCCACGCUUUUUGAAGAUUAGGCCAGGGUUCUCCUCUCAACUAUACUGGCCUGGCUGAGGCCUGCCAACUAGGUCUAGCUUUUGCUGGAAGUGGACUUAAGGCAAGAGGGCUCUAAGAAAGGUUCUGACACAGGGAAUUUAAUUAAAGGUUAAAUUCUGGCAAUUGUUAUUAACAUUUUAUAUAGCUUUAGCAGAGAUAUCAGUAGCAGACUAUAACAUGCUAUUGUCACAGUAAGAUGGAUUAGGAAAGGUUUUCAGCAGAGAAAAUGGUGAAAUGGUUAAUGUUUUCACAAGAAAAUGGAGUGUCCGUCCUAAACAGGAAGAACUGGCUUGAAUUCAAAAUGAUUAUAUAAUUCCUGACUUCAGUCAUGGCACUCUCUUAAGUAGGAGUAAAUUCAUGCUUCCAGAUGGCUGCCAGGAAACUGGAAACACUGGUUGUUGCAGGCACAAAGUACCUUAAAGACACAGGUUGUAUACUGAAUUGUCCUAAAUAGAACCUCCAUGGAAACUGAGGGAAGACUAUACUUGGUUUGUUUGGAACUUUACAAAAGCUGUUCACUAUUUUAAAAAAUUACAUCAUGGGCAGCAAAGCUGAUCACAGGUUUUGAGUUAUCAAUACAAUGAACCCGGAUCGGUCUGAAUUGUAGCUGUCCUACUCAUGGUAAUUCUAUAUUCAGAAUCUAUGCACUUGAUUAUGCCUUCUGGUUGGUCAUGCCUGGGUAUGUACAUAUUAGAAAACAUGUAAUUUGACUAUAAAUUCCUUUCAUUUUUCCUUUUUAUUAAAAUUAGAGUAUUUUAUUGCACUUUUGGAAUUAUAUAUAGGUAGGUUCCAUUAACUAUGACUUUCAUUUCAGGAUAGGAAAGGACAUGAUAUAAAAAGGAUUACAAUAGGUUUGAGAAUGACUAGUGAGAGAUGGAGAUAUAUAAAUUGAAUUGAAUACAAAGGAAUCCAUGAAAGCACUUCAGAGAGGUAAAAAGUAAAGGGGAGAACCAGGAAGAGAGAUUAUUGGCCAUGAGAGAUCUGGGAAAGCUCAUGGAGGAGAGAUUAUUGACCAUGGGAGAUCUGGGAAGACUCACGGAGGAAGAAUGAAAUGAGCGGGUGCUGAUUGAUAUCCUUCAUUAGAAUAACUCCAGAAAUGUGGGGCUUAGUACCCACCUUGGAACCUGUCUCCAGUGAGGCCCAGUCAUUCUGGCACGGCUUUGUUAUCAAUUUCUUUUCCAUGCUCUUCCUGUAUCUUCCCGACAAAGGCCUUUGUUCUGGGAGGCUCCAAUGGGCAGAGUAUGAUGAAUCCGAUGAAUCCCUAACCUCUGUGGUGUCUCUUCUGGAAUCUGAAAACUGUGGUCUCUGUAAUACUUUCUGGUUAAUCUUCUCUUCUUUAGGCUAAACCUCUCUACUUCCUCCAACUGUUUCUCAUAUAAUUCGGUUUCAUAUUUCCUCACCAUCUGGAUCAUUUUCCUCUGAACAUGCUGCAAUUUGUCAAUGGCCCUUUAAAAGUGUGAUGCCUAGAACCCAAUGUGGCUUCCAGAGUUGAAACAUGUAACUGUAUUUCCUAAUAUUUCCAAAAGGCAAAAAUGUUAUCCCUUUGCACAGGCAGUGAGAUCAGGACAGAGGAGGGGGGUGGGGACGGUCUGUCUUAAUAAUCCCUGUAUUGCCAGUAUUGGAAAAUUUCGUUUUUUGUUUGAGCAAGUUCUAUAUGAUUUUUUAAUACUUGCAAGUAGACUUCUGAUCUCAAAGAGGGUUUUUCCCCCUUUGUUCAUUUUUGUUGUGAGGAUUAAAUGAAAAAAUGUAGGUCUGCCUAACAAAUACUAACAAUUACUUUUAUUUGCUGAUAGCAUCCAUCUACUAGCAUCCUAUGGUCAUUUCCCAUCUGAAGACAUUUUUCUCUUAACAGACUGUGCCCUGCCCAUGUCCCAAGUGAUCUAACCAAGACUGGCGGGAACACCACCCUUUCCAGGGGCUUGGUCUAUAAAAUGGAAUUAGUAUUUCUGCCUUAAGCUUGAAUCUGGUAUGUAUCUGGAAAACCUCUGCAUUCCUGCGUGUCUAGUAAACCUCAGCUUUAGCCCCAAAAUGCAAAAUUCCAUCAAGGCUCCUGAUUUUUCAUCCCAUUUUGGUCUGAGACCGAAAUCCUGCAGCAACUUGACUGGCUAUUGUGAACAUGUUGUCUACACAGGCUAAAACAGUACCAGUUUAUCUCAUUCUAGAUGCUAGGGGCCCCCAAAACCACAGCAAUACCACCCACUGGUUUGAACUUAAUGGAAACUAUAGCAGACCUCUGCAUAAGGAAGUCACUCUGACAUGAAUACUAGCUUGCUAUCCUCCUUGAAUGCAAUGACUUCAAGAAGUGGGAGACAGGUUAGCCAAGGAAGUCUAAGUACUUUAUGUUAUACUUGCCAGCUGCCCAAGUUUCAACGUGCCUUUACAGCUGAACAGACCAGUUCCAAGGUAAACUAAAUGACAGCAGGCAUAUUUGUCUGUUUUGUUAGCUGAUGUAUCCCUCACCCUUAGAAUAGUGCCAAACACAUAAGAGGUGCUCAACAAACAUUAGUGGAAUUAACUAAUAAAAUGAUCUGGUAUGCUAGACAUCUGUUUUUGUUUUUCUCAGUAUUCCUUUCGUCUGAGAAUCGCUUCUUUCCCAUUCCAUGUUAUUCUGGUGGAGCUGUCAGUCAUGAAACAGAACAAGCUAACAAAUGGUGCCAUGAGUCUAGGGGCUCAUGGAGAUACAAGUCCCUAAUUUCUAGAUUCCCUACAGUAAGCAUGUAUCUGUAGUGCUUCUUACUUCUAGAGAAUUUGAGGCAUACAAUCAGGAGCGUUGAUGAAUGUGGGUGGUACAUGCUGCAGGUAGAUUUAUUCAGAGGCUCAACUUUAUGUGAACAUUUAUCACAAAAUCCAAGCCAACAGGAUA
Macaca mulatta (Rhesus monkey) is the source of this 4050-nucleotide non-coding RNA. NCBI's taxonomy places the organism in Eukaryota, Metazoa, Chordata, Mammalia, Primates, Cercopithecidae. The record is from RefSeq and is a predicted model, not a curated record.